CAAAAAUACGUUUAUAUUGAGAACUAACCAUAAUUAGAUUUUAUUUUGCACAAAUACCUAUUUAGGCUUUCAUCUCUACCUUCAACCUUCAACGUAUAUCUUAUACUCAACCAGAAAAAGUAAACGAAACAGAGGCCGGAGAAAACCUCCAUUAACGCCGAUUUCGGAGCUGCGCCGGUCGAUCCACCCGCCCCCAAAUCAUCGCCUAUCCUGAAGAAAAAAGAAGAAAACGAAAUAGAGCUCCGUUGCAAUCAUACCGAAGUUGUCGGAGCUUACCUCUCCGAUCCGUCCCCAAAUCAUUGCAAUGUGAGUUUCAAUAACUCAAAUCUCUCCCGUCAAAUCCAAAAUAAGUCAUAACAUUUCUUUUCAGCUACUACCAUUGGAAAAACUUUUGUUCUUGGAUCUUGAAAACCUAAGCAAAGAGCUCCAACAGAUUGCGGAGUUACUCUUGUUCCAUGGCUGCCUUCAUUUUCAAUAGCUUUACUCAGUGUGAAGUUACAAAAGAAGACUGAAAAAGAGCAAAAAUCUUGUCCAAUUUCAACUGUUGGACUUCACUAUGGAUAUGGAUAAAAUUUUCAUUGUAAUCCAACAUAGUGGUCAUUGGGAUGAAAAUCAAAAUUACAUCAACUUUCAAGUUCGCGGAAUGGUCAUUCCCAAUAAUUGCAACUACAACACCUUGGUUGGAAUGAUAUGUAAUGAGCUGAAGAUAGAUCUUGGAUCAACAACUCUAAAAAUAAAGUACCAAGGAAAAGACAACUACCCUCCAUUCCACAUAGAAGAUGACCUCCAAUUUUACUUCUACAAGGAGUUGAAGAAAAAAGAUUCAGAUUUUACAAAGUACCCGUUGUGCCUUACAAUGGAGAAUAACCAUAUUGAGUCGACUGUUUUUCCAACAAGAAGUACAUCAACAGAGAUUAACCAUAUUGAGCUGACUUUUUUUUCAACCAGAAGUACAUCAACUUAUAACGAAUUGGGUAUAGAAUUGGGACAAGCUGAAGAAGGAACAUCAAAUUCAGAUGAAGAAGCAACUGUUGACAUGGAUGCAGAUGAGAGUGAAAAUUAUAUCUCCAAUGCAAGGUUGGUUGCCAAGCAAAUAAUAGAAAUGGGAAAUGAAGCAAACAACGAUGCAGAAGAGAUUAAAAUAGACGAAGAUUCAGUAAUCAACAACAAAAACCAUCAAGAAAUAGCUCCGUCUCAGAUUUACAAAGAUAAAGAGACCUUGAAGACUGUGUUGAGCCACUAUGCAAUUAGAAAACAUUUUUCAGUACCGCGUGAAAAAAUCUUGCAAAAGACAGUUCCUAGCGGAGUGCUUUGACAAAAAUUGCAGCUGGAAGUUAAGGGCAUCAAGGAAUGGAAACACAAUGCAAUUUAUAAUUAUGACUUUUGAGGACAAUCAUAGCUGCGAUAUGAAGAUAAGAUUGAAAGAUCAACGUCAAGCAACCUCAACCAUCAUUCCAGACAUGAUCAAGUACAAAUUCACAAACAUCAAGACUAAAACCACGGUUGCAGAUGUUAUAAAUGAGUUGAAAAUUCGUGGAUUGAGAGUCAAAUACAGCAAAGCUUGGAGAUCAAUACAGAAGGAAAAAGAAAAAGAGGAAAUGUAAUUAAGUCUUACUCUGAGAUAGCCAAGUAUCUUUACUUGUUGCAUCAUACAAAUCCAGACUCUUUUGUGGAGCUCAAAACAGAGGAAGAUGGCUUUUUAUUCCUUUUUGUAGCAUUGAAUGCUUCAAGAAAAGGAUGGUUGCAUUGUAUUCCUGUGGUGAUAGUUGAUGUGACAUUCUUAAAGUCUACAUAUGGAGUUAUAUACUGCUGGUUGCAGCGACUCAAGAUGCGGAAGGUCAUAUUUUCCCGCUAGCUUUUAGUGUGGUUGAUUCAGAGAACGAUAAUUCUUAGGAGUGGUUCUUUGAAAAGUUUAGGGAGUGUUAUGGUUCAAGAGAAGACAUGGUCAUUAUCUCUGACCGUCACGAAAGCAUAAAAAAGGCAACCAUCAAAGUGUACCCAGAAGUACUUCAUGGAGCUUGCACCUUUCACCUACUAAAGAACAUUAAAAGCAAAUUAAGAAAAGCUCAAAAACUGUCUCAGAUACAUUCUUCGCAGUGGCAAAGGCAUACACUGUUGAAGGCUUCGAGCGCCACAUGGGAAAACUAGAUAAGAUUGACAAGAGGUUGAGACCCUACUUGCAAGAAAUCGGGUAUGAAAAAUGGGCUCAAGCUCACUCUCAAAAUAAUAGAUACUCGAACAUGGCAUCCAACCUCGCAGAAUCUUUGAAUUCUUUGAUUGUUGCAGUAAGGGAGCUACCAAUCUGCACUAUGGUAGAAUGUUUAAGAAGUUUGGUGCAAGAAUGGAGCUGUAAAAAUCGAAACAUAGCUCAAGCAAUUCCCACAAGGCUGACAAGCAAACAUGAAGAAAUCUUAAAUGAUAACUACAAAUACUCAUUGAAGAUGACGGUGCACCCGACAAAUGAUGUUUUGUUCGAAGUUCGUGAUGGAUGCAAAAAAGCAAUAGUUGAUCUAAGCUCGAGAACUUGUACAUGAAAACGGUUCCAAAUAGAUCAACUUCCUUGUGGCCAUGCAAUAGCUGUUCUAAAAGAUAUGAAUAAAGAUGCAUAUGAAUAUUGCUCAUCAUAUUACACAAAGGAGGCCAUGCUUGCAACUUAUGGAUAAAUUGUAUACCCUAUUCCUAAUGAAGACACAUGGGAGGUACCCGAAUAUGUUAAAUCAUGGGAAGUUCAGCAUCCAAAAGAAAAAAGUAAGAGUGGGAAGACCAAAGAAAAGAAGAAGCAAACCUUUAUGGCAGAAAAACAAAAAAUGAACAAAGCAAAUCAAAUGCGGAAAAUGUAAUCAACCUGGACAUAACAAAAAGACUUGCAGAAAUUUGGAAAACUAGCAAAACUUGAUUAUUGCUUGAUUAAGCAAAAUUGCACAUCAUUUAGUUUGGCUGAAAAAGUUAGUAUAGUAUA
Cannabis sativa is the source of this 2959-nucleotide long non-coding RNA. RefSeq lists it as uncharacterized. The record is from RefSeq and is a predicted model, not a curated record. Lineage: Eukaryota; Viridiplantae; Streptophyta; Magnoliopsida; Rosales; Cannabaceae. The transcript is spliced from 7 exons.